UAAAUAGCAUUAUCUUAAGGUUCCUUAGCAAUAGAGGAUCUAUAAGGGGAAGUCGGUGAAAAUCCGACGCGGUCCCGCCACUGUAAACAAGGAGUUCUCUUCAGAAAUCCUACCAACAAAGGUUAGGAAAAAGUAGAGAAUGAUGAUUUGAAGCCAGGAAACCUACCUUAAGUAGCAUCACAACC
This 185-nucleotide non-coding RNA is filed under the name Candidatus Desulfosporosinus infrequens. Lineage: Bacteria; Bacillati; Bacillota; Clostridia; Eubacteriales; Desulfitobacteriaceae. The record is from RNAcentral.